AUGAGCAUGAGAGUUUGGUAAAGGCUUUCAAGCAAGUUGACGUGGUGAUAUCAACGGUGGGUCACAUGCAGUUGGGUGAUCAGGUUAAAAUCAUUGAUGCCAUUAAAGAAGCUGGCAAUGUUAAGAGAUUCUUCCCAUCGGAGUUUGGGACCGAUGUGGAUCGAAACCAUGCCGUAGAACCGGCCAAAUCAGCAUUCGCAGUCAAGUCCCAAAUUCGGUGAGCGGUCGAGGCUAAAGGCAUCCCUUACACAUACGUGGCUUGCAACUACUUUGCUGGCUAUUUUCUUCCCACAUUGGUUCAGCCAGGAGCCACUGCCCCUCCUAGAGACAAAGUCAUUAUAUUAGGCGAUGGAAAUCCCAAGGCUGUUUUCAACAAGGAGGAUGACAUUGGCACCUACACCAUCA
Molecule: long non-coding RNA, 405 nt
Organism: Humulus lupulus (European hop)
Lineage: Eukaryota; Viridiplantae; Streptophyta; Magnoliopsida; Rosales; Cannabaceae
Exons: 3
Source: RefSeq, a predicted model, not a curated record